This is a non-coding RNA of Pseudopodoces humilis (Tibetan ground-tit), 116 nucleotides long. The record is from RefSeq and is a predicted model, not a curated record. Lineage: Eukaryota; Metazoa; Chordata; Aves; Passeriformes; Paridae.
CGGGAACGCGACGCCUUCGCCGAGCGGCUGCGGCGCCGCGACCGCGACCGGGGCGCCCGCGGGGACAGCAAGGCCUACGAAGAAGCCCAGAAACGCCUCAAAAUCGCUGAGGAAGA